This 767-nucleotide unclassified non-coding RNA is filed under the name Hevea brasiliensis (rubber tree). The record is from RNAcentral. Lineage: Eukaryota; Viridiplantae; Streptophyta; Magnoliopsida; Malpighiales; Euphorbiaceae.
GAACCCGCCAAGGGCAUAAACCUGAAAGUAGAUGAAGUGCUUUCAUUGAGAAAGAAACUAUGAGAAGAACGUUAAUAAGAAACUCUCAAAUAAAAGAUCAUGACGAUGUAUCUGUGGUCUGAUAACCGAGUUCACAUACCACAGUAGAGGCGAAUAAAGAAAACAUAAAACAAUUUAGAAUUGGCAACUGAGAGAGAAUACCACAGAGACAACAAUUCAGCAGAAAAACAACAGACCGGUUACAAGGGACAGGAACAAUUGAAAUAAGAAAAAGAAAUUUUCUAGUUUCUUACCACAAGGAGAAUCAAGCGAGGGAAGAGUGGUGUCAGCUAAAAGGAAAUUGUAAGCUUACGCAUAUUCCAUAUAUUUACAUAUCUUUACAAUACAUAUGCAUGUCCACAUACAGGGUUGGGAAAAGAAAAUUUGUCACAAGGACAAAAGAAAUCAUAUGUUAAAAAUAUAAGAUUAAGAAAGGACAAAGAAUGAAAAGACAAAAUAACAUUAAUAAGCUGCAGAACAUGAACAAUGAUGUGCUUGACAAGAAGGUGGAAUAUGAACUUGAGAACCCCAAAAAAUUUAUAAUAUAUUUGUGAACACUAGCUUAGAUUUUGGUGUUGUUUUACAAACCACAUAAAUCCAGUUAAACGUGUUCAGCAAGGGUCUUGAGAUUUAAAAAUUUAAGUUGUUUUUGUAUUAAUGGCCAUAAAUUGUGAACCAUCUUUACACCAGUAAUUUCAAACAUCCCAUCACCAUAUGGAUUAAGUUAA